This 93-nucleotide small nucleolar RNA is filed under the name Saimiri boliviensis boliviensis (Bolivian squirrel monkey). The record is from RNAcentral. Lineage: Eukaryota; Metazoa; Chordata; Mammalia; Primates; Cebidae.
AUUCUUUUCUUUAAGAUAAUUUUGAGGCAGAAGCACCCAUUCCAUUUCCAGCUUGCUCAGUAGCUGGUGAUUGGAAGGUACUCUACAACAGUG